RNAcentral lists this ribosomal RNA (893 nucleotides) under human gut metagenome. Its description in RNAcentral is "bacterial SSU rRNA". It matches the Rfam family "Bacterial small subunit ribosomal RNA", at positions 8 to 892 of the family's 1533-position model. The record is from RNAcentral.
AGAGUUUGAUCCUGGCUCAGGAUGAACGCUAGCUACAGGCUUAACACAUGCAAGUCGAGGGGCAGCAUUUUAGUUUGCUUGCAAACUAAAGAUGGCGACCGGCGCACGGGUGAGUAACACGUAUCCAACCUACCGAUAACUCUGGAAUAGCCUUUCGAAAGAAAGAUUAAUACCGGAUAGUAUACGAAUAUCGCAUGAUAUUUUUAUUAAAGAAUUUCGGUUAUCGAUGGGGAUGCGUUCCAUUAGUUUGUUGGCGGGGUAACGGCCCACCAAGACUACGAUGGAUAGGGGUUCUGAGAGGAAGGUCCCCCACAUUGGAACUGAGACACGGUCCAAACUCCUACGGGAGGCAGCAGUGAGGAAUAUUGGUCAAUGGGCGAGAGCCUGAACCAGCCAAGUAGCGUGAAGGAUGAAGGCUCUAUGGGUCGUAAACUUCUUUUAUAUGGGAAUAAAGUUUUCCACGUGUGGAAUUUUGUAUGUACCAUAUGAAUAAGGAUCGGCUAACUCCGUGCCAGCAGCCGCGGUAAUACGGAGGAUCCGAGCGUUAUCCGGAUUUAUUGGGUUUAAAGGGAGCGUAGGUGGAUUGUUAAGUCAGUUGUGAAAGUUUGCGGCUCAACCGUAAAAUUGCAGUUGAAACUGGGAGUCUUGAGUACAGUAGAGGUGGGCGGAAUUCGUGGUGUAGCGGUGAAAUGCUUAGAUAUCACGAAGAACUCCGAUUGCGAAGGCAGCUCACUAGACUGUUACUGACACUGAUGCUCGAAAGUGUGGGUAUCAAACAGGAUUAGAUACCCUGGUAGUCCACACAGUAAACGAUGAAUACUCGCUGUUUGCGAUAUACAGUAAGCGGCCAAGCGAAAGCAUUAAGUAUUCCACCUGGGGAGUACGCCGGCAAC